UCGGGUUGUAAAGCACUUUUGUCCGGAAAGAAAACCUUUGCACUAAUACUGUGAGGGGAUGACGGUACCGGAAGAAUAAGCACCGGCUAACUACGUGCCAGCAGCGCGGUAAUCGUAGGGUGCGAGCGUUAAUCGGAAUUACUGGGCGUAAAGCGUGCGCAGGCGGUUCGUUAAGACAGAUGUGAAAUCCCCGGGCUUAACCUGGGAACUGCAUUUGUGACUGGCGAGCUAGAGUAUGGCAGAGGGGGGUAGAAUUCCACGUGUAGCAGUGAAAUGCGUAGAGAUGUGGAGGAAUACCGAUGGCGAAGGCAGCCCCCUGGGCCAAUACUGACGCUCAUGCACGAAAGCGUGGGGAGCAAACAGGAUUAGAUACCCUGGUAGUCCACGCCCUAAACGAUGUCAACUAGUUGUUGGGUCUUCAUUGACUUAGUAACGUAGCUAACGCGUGAAGUUGACCGCCUGGGGAGUACGGUCGCAAGAUUAAAACUCAAAGGAAUUGACGGGGACCCGCACAAGCGGUGGAUGAAGGUGGAUUAAUUCGAUGCAACGCGAAAAACCUUACCUACCCUUGACAUGGUCGGAACCUGGCUG
Molecule: ribosomal RNA, 591 nt
Filed under: uncultured Burkholderia sp.
Lineage: Bacteria; Pseudomonadati; Pseudomonadota; Betaproteobacteria; Burkholderiales; Burkholderiaceae
Description: bacterial SSU rRNA
Rfam family: Bacterial small subunit ribosomal RNA
Source: RNAcentral